This 468-nucleotide ribosomal RNA is filed under the name uncultured bacterium. RNAcentral describes it as "partial 16S ribosomal RNA". It matches the Rfam family "Bacterial small subunit ribosomal RNA", at positions 28 to 507 of the family's 1533-position model. The record is from RNAcentral.
GACGAACGCUGGCGGCGUGCUUAACACAUGCAAGUCGAACGGAAAGGCCCUGCUUUUGUGGGGUGCUCGAGUGGCGAACGGGUGAGUAACACGUGAGUAACCUGCCCUUGACUUUGGGAUAACUUCAGGAAACUGGGGCUAAUAUCGGAUAGGAGCUCCUGCGGCAUGGUGGGGUUUGGAAAGUUUCGGCGUUUGGGGAUGGACUCGCGGCUUAUCAGCUUGUUGGUGGGGUAGUGGAUUACCAAGGCUUUGACGGGUAGCCGGCCUGAGAGGGUGACCGGCCACAUUGGGACUGAGAUACGGCCCAGACUCAUACGGGAGGCAGCAGUGGGGAAUAUUGCACAAUGGGCGGAAGCCGGAUGCAGCAACGCCGCGUGCGGGAUGACGGCCUUCGGGUUGUAACCCGCUUUCGCCUGUGACGAAGCGUGAGUGACGGUAAUGGGUAAAGAAGCACCGGCUAACUACGUG